UUCCCCUGUAGCUCAGUAGGCAGAGCAAGUGGCUGUUAACCACUGGGUCCGUGGUUCGAACCCGCGCGGGGGAGCGAA
Molecule: transfer RNA, 78 nt
Filed under: Treponema vincentii ATCC 35580
Lineage: Bacteria; Pseudomonadati; Spirochaetota; Spirochaetia; Treponematales; Treponemataceae
Description: tRNA-Asn
Rfam family: tRNA
About the family: Transfer RNA (tRNA) molecules are approximately 80 nucleotides in length.
Source: RNAcentral